UAACGAAUAUUCCGCAAUGCGCGAAAGCGUGACGGAGCAAUGCCGCGUGGAGGAUGAAGCCCCUCGGGGUGUAAACUCCUGUCAGGGUUCAGGAAAUUUGACCAGACCCAAAGGAAGGGCCGGCUAACUUCGUGCCAGCAGCCGCGGUAAUACGAAGGGCCCAAGCGUUGCGCAGAAUCACUGGGCUUAAAGGGUGCGUAGGCGGACCUGCAAGUACCUUGUGAAAUCCCACGGCUUAACCGUGGAAUGGCUGGGUAGACUGCUGGUCUUGAGCUCGGCAGGGGCCGUCGGAACUCUAGGUGGAGCGGUGAAAUGCGUAGAUAUCUAGAGGAACGCCAAAGGUGAAGACAGGCGGCUGGGCCGACGCUGACGCUCAGGCACGAAAGCGUGGGGAGCGAACGGGAUUAGAUACCCGCGUAGUCC
This 423-nucleotide ribosomal RNA is filed under the name uncultured prokaryote. RNAcentral's name for it is "bacterial SSU rRNA". It matches the Rfam family "Bacterial small subunit ribosomal RNA", at positions 355 to 796 of the family's 1533-position model. The record is from RNAcentral.